Molecule: ribosomal RNA, 100 nt
Filed under: uncultured bacterium
Lineage: Bacteria
Description: partial 16S ribosomal RNA
Rfam family: Bacterial small subunit ribosomal RNA
Source: RNAcentral
UUACACACCGCCCGUCACACCAUGGGAGUCGAUUGUCUCCAGAAGUGGGUGAGCCAACCGCAAGGAGGCAGCCCCCAAGGAGUGGUUGGUAACUGGGGUG